This 482-nucleotide ribosomal RNA is filed under the name uncultured bacterium. RNAcentral describes it as "partial 16S ribosomal RNA". It matches the Rfam family "Bacterial small subunit ribosomal RNA", at positions 30 to 507 of the family's 1533-position model. The record is from RNAcentral.
AUUGAACGCUGGCGGCAUGUUUUACACAUGCAAGUCGAACGGUAACAGCACUUCGGUGGCUGACGAGUGGCGAACGGGUGAGUAAUACAUCGGAACGUGCCUAGUAGUGGGGGAUAACUACUCGAAAGAGUAGCUAAUACCGCAUGAGAUCUAAGGAUGAAAGCAGGGGACCUUCGGGCCUUGCGCUACUAGAGCGGCUGAUGGCAGAUUAGGUAGUUGGUGGGAUAAAAGCUUACCAAGCCGACGAUCUGUAGCUGGGCUGAGAGGACGACCAGCCACACUGGGAAUGAGAAAAGGCCCAGACUCCUAAGGGAGGGAGCAGGGGGGAAUUUUGGACAAUGGGCGCAAGCCUGAUCCAGCAAUGCCGCGUGCAGGAUGAAGGCCUUCGGGUUGUAAAAUGCUUUUGUACGGAACGAAAAGCCCUCUUCUAAUACAGGAGGGUCAUGACGGUACCGGAAGAAUAAGCACCGGCUAACUACGUG